This 241-nucleotide ribosomal RNA is filed under the name uncultured bacterium. RNAcentral describes it as "partial 16S ribosomal RNA". It matches the Rfam family "Bacterial small subunit ribosomal RNA", at positions 92 to 334 of the family's 1533-position model. The record is from RNAcentral.
CGACCGGCGCACGGGUGAGUAACGCGUAUGCAACCUGCCUGAUACCGGGGUAUAGCCCAUGGAAACGUGGAUUAACACCCCAUAGUACUUUUAUCCUGCAUGGGAUGUGAGUUAAAUGUUCAAGGUAUCGGAUGGGCAUGCGUCCUAUUAGUUAGUUGGCGGGGUAACAGCCCACCAAGACGAUGAUAGGUAGGGGUUCUGAGAGGAAGGCCCCCCACAUUGGAACUGAGACACGGUCCAA